CGUACUGAGACACGGACCAGACUCCUACGGGAGGCAGCAGUGAGGAAUAUUGGACAAUGGGAGCAAUCCUGAUCCAGCCAUGCCGCGUGCAGGAAGACUGCCCUAUGGGUUGUAAACUGCUUUUAUACAGGAAGAAAAAGGUGUACGUGUACACUGUUGACGGUACUGUAAGAAUAAGGAUCGGCUAACUCCGUGCCAGCAGCCGCGGUAAUACGGAGGAUCCAAGCGUUAUCCGGAAUCAUUGGGUUUAAAGGGUCCGUAGGCGGGACAAUAAGUCAGUGGUGAAAGUCUGCAGCUCAACUGUAGAAUUGCCAUUGAUACUGUUGUUCUUGAGUGCUUGUGAAGUGGUUAGAAUGAGUAGUGUAGCGGUGAAAUGCAUAGAUAUUACUCAGAAUACCGAUUGCGAAGGCAGAUCACUAACAAUUCACUGACGCUGAUGGACGAAAGCGUAGGUAGCGAACAGGAUUAGAUACCCUGGUAGUCUACGCCGUAAACGAUGGUUACUAGCUGUUCGGGUUAAUUGAGACCUGAGUGGCUAAGCGAAAGUGAUAAGUAACCCACCUGGGGAGUACGUUCGCAAGAAUGAAACUCAAAGGAAUUGACGG
Molecule: ribosomal RNA, 605 nt
Filed under: uncultured Bacteroidota bacterium
Lineage: Bacteria; Pseudomonadati; Bacteroidota
Description: bacterial SSU rRNA
Rfam family: Bacterial small subunit ribosomal RNA
Source: RNAcentral